UGGGCAUAUCCAAAAGCGGAGGAAAAGAAACCAACCGGGAUUGCCUCAGUAACGGCGAGUGAAGCGGCAAGAGCUCAAAUUUGAAAGCUGGCUCCUUCGGAGUCCGCAUUGUAAUUUGCAGAGGAUGCUUUGGGUGCGGCCCCCGUCUAAGUGCCCUGGAACGGGCCGUCAGAGAGGGUGAGAAUCCCGUCUUGGGCGGGGUGUCCGUGCCCGUGUAAAGCUCCUUCGACGAGUCGAGUUGUUUGGGAAUGCAGCUCUAAAUGGGUGGUAAAUUUCAUCUAAAGCUAAAUACUGGCCGGAGACCGAUAGCGCACAAGUAGAGUGAUCGAAAGAUGAAAAGCACUUUGAAAAGAGAGUUAAACAGCACGUGAAAUUGUUGAAAGGGAAGCGCUUGCGACCAGACUCGCCCGCGGGGUUCAGCCGGCAUUCGUGCCGGUGUACUUCCCCGUGGGCGGGCCAGCGUCGGUUUGGGCGGCCGGUCAAAGGCCCCUGGAAUGUAGUACCCUCCGGGGUACCUUAUAGCCAGGGGUGCAAUGCGGCCAGCCUGGACCGAGGAACGCGCUCGGCACGACGCUGCAAAAACGAUUACUUGUAU
RNAcentral lists this ribosomal RNA (595 nucleotides) under Aspergillus tubingensis. Its description in RNAcentral is "partial large subunit ribosomal RNA". It matches the Rfam family "Eukaryotic large subunit ribosomal RNA", at positions 35 to 647 of the family's 3401-position model. Lineage: Eukaryota; Fungi; Ascomycota; Eurotiomycetes; Eurotiales; Aspergillaceae. The record is from RNAcentral.